GACGAACGCUGGCGGCGUGCUUAACACAUGCAAGUCGAGCGAACAGACGAGGCUUGCGCUGCGCUGGAGUUGCGAACGGGUGAGUAACUCGCAGGUGGAUAACCCCGCUAUAUGGGAGAAACCAGGGAAACAAAGCCUAGUAAAUGCUGGGUAAAAUCUUGAACCGGAGGGGUGGAAAGUGAAAGUCGGUUUUGGGAUCACUUAGCGACCGAUCCGCGUCGCAUUAGGUAGUUGGUAAGGUAACGGCUUACCAAGGAAACGAUGCGUAGCCGGCCUGAGCGGGUGAUCGGCCACACUGGGACUGAGACACGGUCCAGACUCCUACGGGAGGCAGCAGUGGGGAAUCUUCCGCAAUGGGCGAAAGCGUGACGGAGCAACGCCGCGUGAGUGAUGACGGCCUUCGGGUCGUAAACCCCUGUUAUUAGGGAAGAACAUCUGUCUAUGAAACUACGCUCGUGUUGACGGUACCUGAACAAGAAGCCCCGGCUAACUACGUG
Molecule: ribosomal RNA, 497 nt
Filed under: uncultured bacterium
Lineage: Bacteria
Description: partial 16S ribosomal RNA
Rfam family: Bacterial small subunit ribosomal RNA
Source: RNAcentral